GACAGCAGUAGCCGCGGGAAUACGAAGGGGGCUAGCGUUGUUCGGAUUUACUGGGCGUAAAGGGCGCGUAGGCGGACUGAUAAGUCAGGGGUGAAAUCCCAAGGCUCAACCUUGGAACUGCCUUUGAUACUGUUUGUCUUGAGUUCGAGAGAGGUAAGUGGAACUGCGAGUGUAGAGGUGAAAUUCGUAGAUAUUCGCAAGAACACCAGUGGCGAAGGCGGCUUACUGGCUCGAAACUGACGCUGAGGCGCGAAAGCGUGGGGAGCAAACCGGAUUAGAUACCCCGGUAGUCCCUGUCUCUUAUAC
RNAcentral lists this ribosomal RNA (306 nucleotides) under uncultured bacterium. Its description in RNAcentral is "partial 16S ribosomal RNA". It matches the Rfam family "Bacterial small subunit ribosomal RNA", at positions 507 to 807 of the family's 1533-position model. The record is from RNAcentral.